GCUUCCGUGGCGCAAUUGGCUAGCGCGUCUGACUGUUAAUCAGGAGGUUGGUGGUUCGAGCCCCACCCCGGGAGCG
RNAcentral lists this transfer RNA (76 nucleotides) under Parasitella parasitica. RNAcentral describes it as "tRNA-Asn (GTT) (tRNA-Asn-GTT-4-1)". It matches the Rfam family "tRNA". Rfam says of the family: Transfer RNA (tRNA) molecules are approximately 80 nucleotides in length. Their secondary structure includes four short double-helical elements and three loops (D, anti-codon, and T loops). Lineage: Eukaryota; Fungi; Mucoromycota; Mucoromycetes; Mucorales; Mucoraceae. The record is from RNAcentral.